RNAcentral lists this ribosomal RNA (334 nucleotides) under uncultured eukaryote. RNAcentral describes it as "partial 18S ribosomal RNA". It matches the Rfam family "Eukaryotic small subunit ribosomal RNA", at positions 1470 to 1796 of the family's 1831-position model. The record is from RNAcentral.
CCCUUAGAUGUCCGGGGCCGCACGCGCGCAACACUGAAGGAAUCAGCGUGGCUUUCUCCCUGACCCGAAAGGGUUGGGAAACCCGUUGAAUCUCCUUCGUGAUAGGGAUUGGGGCUUGAAAUUGUUCCCCAUGAACGAGGAAUUCCCAGUAAGCGCGAGUCAUAAGCUCGCGUUGAUUACGUCCCUGCCCUUUGUACACACCGCCCGUCGCUACUACCGAUUGAACGGUUUAGUGAGGGCCUCGGAUUGGUCUCGGCCCGCUCUUUACCGGGCGGCGCCGUUGGUCGGGAAGACGCUCGAACUUGAUCGUUUAGAGGAAGUAAAAGUCGUAACA